GCGGAAGGACCGCCCCUUCCCACCCCAGGAAGAAUAGGGGCUGCAAACUGAGCUCUGGGGUCGCUGUCUCCUUUUAUCCAGCAUACACUUGUGCAAUCUGAUAAGCCUAAAUUGAUCAAGGCUCGGUCCCUGGAAGAAGUGGACACUUUAAGCCUCUGCGUCUUCAUUUAAGUAGAGAUCGUGACCGACGUACCUCCCGCGAUUCUGGAUUUAUUUCACAGUAACUAGGUUUAUUUCACCAAGAUAGUUUGGUAUGUGAUGUAUCAGGCGCUUCAUGGGUGAGCGGUGGGAGGUGAUGGCUGUCACUACGUGGUGAUCCGCGGUGCUCGCUCCACUGAAGGUCCUCCGCGUGCAGUGGUUCCGGCCACGCCCACCCUCAGCUUGCGGGUGUUAGCCUCCGAACCCGAGCCCAAAACCGCUGAGUCUUCGGGUCCCGCCCCCGCUUCCCUGCAAAAUGCCCGGUUAGAGCAGAAGCCUCUCUGCGUGAACUGUCUUCCUCAGCUUGGACCGGUCCGAAGCAGAAGGCUCAUUGCCAAGAGGAAACCCAGUCCUGUUGCUCUGGGGAGUCUUCAGGCUGAGCUGACGGCAGGAGGCUGCCGGUUACCACCCAUCCCCUUAAGACUCCUUCCAACUCAGACUCCAAGAUUCCACAACUUCCCCAAGGCCCCAGCACUCAGUCAUCACAAACAACUGCAGAACAGCAACUCAAACUUCACUGCACCCCAGUCGCUGAUCUCAGCUGAAGGAUUAAGUUUCACAGAUCCUAGCUGCCGGCCAAGGGAAGCACAGCCCUCUGCCCAAGCCAAGUCAUCCUGACCUGUCCCCUUCCCGAGAGCGUGGCUGCCGCCAGGACCUGGCCUACCAGUCACAGUAGGUACCAAGCCCUCCCCUUGGCCUCUCAACUCCUGGGCUAAUGGCUAACAUUCUCAGCACUGUUGCCCAAAACUGUCUCCCCCAGGUGCCACAUUCACCAGUGAUCAAUCAGC
This 986-nucleotide long non-coding RNA is filed under the name Chinchilla lanigera (long-tailed chinchilla). Its description in RNAcentral is "lncRNA (ENSCLAG00000029199.1)". Lineage: Eukaryota; Metazoa; Chordata; Mammalia; Rodentia; Chinchillidae. The record is from RNAcentral.